This is a non-coding RNA of Biomphalaria pfeifferi, 859 nucleotides long. Lineage: Eukaryota; Metazoa; Mollusca; Gastropoda; Planorbidae. The record is from the annotation of a GenBank genome assembly.
UUUUUUGAAAGAGCACUAAGAAAGGUAAGAUAUAUAUAUUUAGAUCUAGUGAAAAGAAGCUUAGAUCUAGCCGAAAUCUGUCUAAAGACUUAAGAACAUCAAAUUAUGGUUUUCUAGCUCUAAAUGUUGAGUCAAUUUAGACAGAUCUAGACAUCUACACUAGACUACAACUACAGUAAUUUGACAUUUGUGACGUCAAAUAUUCAUACUAAUCAAUCCAUUGCAACCACUUAUAAAUCAGCCAUUUUGUUUUUAAAAGUCAAUUAGAUUCUAUAUUUAAUCUAGUCUUCUACAUAGAUCUAGACCAAGAUCUAUUAUACUAAAUCUAAUUAUAGCCAAUGUAGGCCUCUAGAAUUUAAAUCAUCAGAUUAUGAUUAGAUUAGACUUGUCUUGAUUCUUGCCAUUCUUGGUAUUCUGUCACAGUGAGUAAUAAGAGUAUAUGUAUUUGCCAGGCUAUGCCUUUUUCACUUUUUGCUAAAAUCAGUUCUUGAGUUAUGCAAACAUGUUAUGUAAUCAAUAUUUGAAGCUAGUACAAUUCCAAGUUUCUAGUCAACUUGUAGGUUGAAGACUAAUCUACUGUAGUCUUUAGAAUAGAUUACCUGCCAGCUGUCCUGAGAUUCAGGUUCCAGAUAUCUAGAUCUAGUGUUCUAGUCCUAUUUAGAAUCUUGACAAAAAUAAUGUCUAAAUUAUUCUAAAUCUAGUUUACAUUUUUUCUUUAUUUUGCUGUUCAUGAUUAGGGACAUUAAAAAAAUGUAUAAUUUUUCAAAGCAUAAAAAAACAACUUUGAUUACAUUACAUUUAUAUAUCUUCUAAUCUACUGCACUUUUAACUUACAGAUGCAGAUUUUUGUCAAGACCCU